GACGAACGCUGGCGGUGUGCUUAACACAUGCAAGUCGAACGGUAAGGCCCUUUCGGGGGUACACGAGUGGCGAACGGGUGAGUAACACGUGAGUAACCUGCCCUCAUCUCUGGGAUAACAGUCGGAAACGGUUGCUAAUACUGGAUAUGAGCUUGCAAGGCAUCUUGUGGGUUGGAAAGAUUUUUUUUGGUUGGGGAUGGACUCGCGGCCUAUCAGCUUGUUGGUGAGGUAGUGGCUCACCAAGGCUUCGACGGGUAGCCGGCCUGAGAGGGCGAUCGGCCACAUUGGGACUGAGAUACGGCCCAAACUCCUACGGGAGGCAGCAGUGGGGAAUAUUGCACAAUGGACGGAAGUCUGAUGCAGCAACGCCGCGUGCGGGAUGACGGCCUUCGGGUUGUAAACCGCUUUCAAUUGUGACGAAGCUUUUUUGUGACGGUAGCAGUAGAAGAAGCACCGGCUAACUACGUG
RNAcentral lists this ribosomal RNA (468 nucleotides) under uncultured bacterium. Its description in RNAcentral is "partial 16S ribosomal RNA". It matches the Rfam family "Bacterial small subunit ribosomal RNA", at positions 28 to 507 of the family's 1533-position model. The record is from RNAcentral.